Agrilus planipennis (emerald ash borer) is the source of this 1651-nucleotide RNA transcript. RefSeq lists it as uncharacterized. The transcript has 9 exons. Lineage: Eukaryota; Metazoa; Arthropoda; Insecta; Coleoptera; Buprestidae. The record is from RefSeq and is a predicted model, not a curated record.
UGUCACAUUCCAGGUUCUAAAUUGUUAAGUGGUUUAAUACUUAUGUACAGUUGUGUGCCAAAAUUGUUACUGUUUCUUCUUUUGCUUAAUUAUGCCCUUACCGUAUACGCGGAGUUUGUGGAUUAUUGCGAUUUUUGCGGUCAUGUAGUACACAGGUCUCCUUCCGAAAGGUUCCCGAGAAGACUGGGACAUAUGAGGGAAGUAUUUACGAAGAAGUUUCGCCAAAAAUGUCGUUGUUGUAGUUGUCAACAAAACAGAAGGCGCCAAAUACAAUCCCUGUUGAAGCACUCCCUUCAUCCAGCUCAUUUUUUACCAACCCUGUUCAGAAAAAAAUGGAACAUCAACGAAUAUGCACCGGAAAGACCCCUGCGGAGAAUGUGUAAGAUGUAAAAUGCAGUUGUCAGAAUGCCGUUGUGCAGAAAACAAGGAAAUAGAAGUGGAUGUUGAAAUAGAGUGUAAAAAAGCAGCGGUGCCAUCCUGUAAAAUUAAAAAAGCUCCCUCGUCGUGCAAACCGCCUGCGCCAGUUUGCAGAGGCAAACCACCUAGAAAAUCAUCCUGUAGAAAGAAACCGAUCCCUUUAAAAAUAAAAACGUGUCGUUGUAAACCAAGAAAGGUAUGCUGUGAACCACCCCGUCAGCCACAACCAUUGCCGAAUGAGUGUUUACCACCCCCUAGCGAAGGGCAACUCCUCUGUAGUGAACCGCAGGCACCCCCAAAUGACUGUAUACCACCCGCGAAUGAACCACAAGUGGAAUGCAGUGAACAAGAACUUUUACCAUCUUCCAAUGAUCCACCGGUAUCACAAACCACAUUUAAUAUAUGCGUUUCUUCGCCCAUUGAGGAACCCCAAAACCUCGAACAAUCGACACCCAGAAAAUCAGAACAAUUAGCCUCCAAGAAAUCGUGGAAACAACAAGAACUUGCAUGUUGUUGUCCACAAAAGCCAGACUGCGAACCAAGUCCAUUGGUUCAUAUACCAAAAUCAGACUUGUCCACUAUUCCAAAAGGGGAAUCAGGUGGAGAAUAGCUUUCCUCAGUCAAUUUUUAAACUGAUACGAAUUAUACUCAAAAUAUCUUUAAGGUUUAUCGUCGGUCACCAAUUGUAAAGAAAAAUGCAUAUGCUGUUCUUGUCGAACAAGGACGGGACCAGACGUAAUAACUACACGAGUUUACAACUUUCUUCAAAAUAUUAAGAAACAUAUAUGCAAACCAGAAUGAACUUGUUUAUUUGAAACAAUUUCUUGGUCUGUCUGGUUUCCCUUUCUGUUUCUGGAUUUAAAGGAUGUGCGAUUUGUGGUUAUUCUAAACAUUGUCCACGGAAAUCUGUUAGGGACCCCAGAAUGGCUUACUAUUCUGGUAAUCCGAAACUGGUUAGUCCAAAGCAAUACUAUUCCGACAAAACUUAUGUCGAACCGACCCACAAACAGUAUGAGUCCCAGAAACCAUCCCCUAAAGUGAUUUACAAGGAAAAUGUGAAUCGUCCCCCGGCAAGAUCUACUUCAAAACCUACAGUAUGUCGACCAUGUUAGAAUUCACAAUUAGAUUGGUUAUCGAAGCAGGAACGGUGCAGACUUAAAAAAAACAGAGCAAAAUUGAGCAAAAAUUGAACAAAUAUUUAUUGAUGAACUAGAACUAACUUUAAAUAAAAAUC